Molecule: ribosomal RNA, 448 nt
Filed under: Gemella morbillorum
Lineage: Bacteria; Bacillati; Bacillota; Bacilli; Caryophanales; Gemellaceae
Description: bacterial SSU rRNA
Rfam family: Bacterial small subunit ribosomal RNA
Source: RNAcentral
GACGAACGCUGGCGGCGUGCUUAACACAUGCAAGUCGAGCGAAGUUUUUCUGGUGUUUGCACUAGAAAAACUUAGCGGCGAACGGGUGAGUAACACGUAAAGAACCUGCCUCAUAGACUGGGACAACUAUUGGAAACGAUAGCUAAUACCGGAUAACAGUAUUUCUCGCAUGGGAGAUAUUUAAAAGUUGGUUAUGCUAACACUAUGAGAUGGCUUUGCGGUGCAUUAGCUAGUUGGUGGGGUAAAGGCCUACCAAGGCGACGAUGCAUAGCCGACCUGAGAGGGUGAUCAGCCACACUGGGACUGAGACACGGCCCAGACUCCUACGGGAGGCAGCAGUAGGGAAUCUUCCGCAAUGGGCGAAAGCCUGACGGAGCAACGCCGCGUGAGUGAAGAAGGAUUUCGGUUCGUAAAGCUCUGUUGUUAGGGAAGAAUGGAUAUGUAGUAA